UUUAAUGAGGUGUGUUGCAUGUUACAUUUUGGUUGUAAAGGAGACUAGUUGUCCGUUAAUU
This 61-nucleotide transfer RNA is filed under the name Rhodobothrium cf. paucitesticulare DJM-2021. RNAcentral's name for it is "tRNA-Gln". The record is from RNAcentral. Lineage: Eukaryota; Metazoa; Platyhelminthes; Cestoda; Rhinebothriidea; Rhinebothriidae.